RNAcentral lists this ribosomal RNA (492 nucleotides) under uncultured bacterium. RNAcentral's name for it is "partial 16S ribosomal RNA". It matches the Rfam family "Bacterial small subunit ribosomal RNA", at positions 29 to 507 of the family's 1533-position model. The record is from RNAcentral.
AGUGAACGCUGGCGGUAGGCCUAACACAUGCAAGUCGAACGGCAGCACAGUAAGAGCUUGCUCUUACGGGUGGCGAGUGGCGGACGGGUGAGGAAUACAUCGGAAUCUACUUUUUCGUGGGGGAUAACGUAGGGAAACUUACGCUAAUACCGCAUACGACCUACGGGUGAAAGCAGGGGAUUUUCGGACCUUGCGCGAUUGAAUGAGCCGAUGUCGGAUUAGCUAGUUGGCGGGGUAAAGGCCCACCAAGGCGACGAUCCGUAGCUGGUCUGAGAGGAUGAUCAGCCACACUGGAACUGAGACACGGUCCAGACUCCUACGGGAGGCAGCAGUGGGGAAUAUUGGACAAUGGGCGCAAGCCUGAUCCAGCCAUACCGCGUGGGUGAAGAAGGCCUUCGGGUUGUAAAGCCCUUUUGUUGGGAAAGAAAAGCAGCAGGUUAAUACCCCGCUGUUCCGACGGUACCCAAAGAAUAAGCACCGGCUAACUUCGUG